This 252-nucleotide ribosomal RNA is filed under the name uncultured bacterium. RNAcentral describes it as "partial 16S ribosomal RNA". It matches the Rfam family "Bacterial small subunit ribosomal RNA", at positions 524 to 776 of the family's 1533-position model. The record is from RNAcentral.
UACGGGGGGGCAAGCGUUGUUCGGAAUUACUGGGCGUAAAGGGCUCGUAGGUGGCCAACUAAGUCAGACGUGAAAUCCCUCGGCUUAACCGGGGAACUGCGUCUGAUACUGGAUGGCUUGAGUUUGGGAGAGGGACGCGGAAUUCCAGGUGUAGCGGUGAAAUGCGUAGAUAUCUGGAGGAAUACCGGUGGCGAAGGCGGCAUCCUGGACCGGCAUUGACGCUGAGGAGCGAAAGCCAGGGGAGCAAACGGG